This 431-nucleotide long non-coding RNA is filed under the name Gallus gallus (chicken). The record is from RNAcentral. Lineage: Eukaryota; Metazoa; Chordata; Aves; Galliformes; Phasianidae.
GGUCGCUAUCAUUUUCUGUGAUUUGUGACCUAGACCUCUGUUUCUUUGUUUCCUCAACAACAUAAUCAUAAAGAGCAAGACGGUCAGCUUGAGUCAGGUCACAGGUGAAACGUUUGUGAUUUUGAGGAACUUCUACAGGCAGUGAUGAGUAAGAUCCUUCAGUGUAGCCUAUGCCUUCUUUGGCACUCUGAGCUCUAGCUUGCUGAACUAUGUGAAACUGUAGCUCUUUAUCCAUUGCAACGGUGGGCACCUUCAGGUUCUCAUAGAAGAAGCGAGAGUCGUACAUCUCGGCCUGCUCCUCGGCGGAGUAGCCCAUCUUGCGGAGGCGGCAGGACGCCGCAUGCCUCUCCAACGACGCCCGCGGCACACGGUGAUGGACGUCGUAAGGGCAGGGCACCCGCUCCACCUGAUCCUCCAGCCACACCGCGCAG